GCCAUUACAUACAUCCUUUGUUCAAUUUCUAUGGCUUCUUCAUCCAUAACUUUCUUCACAUCUCUCCAUUGCUGAAUGCUGAUCACUUCUUCAAUAAUUCAUCACUCUAAAUUUUCUUCCACUUAUUACAAGAGAGUCCAAGCAAAUCUUUUCACUCCUAAUUGAAGGCUUGAAGGAUAUUUUAGUUUUUGAGAAUUUUUUUGGUGAGAAGUUCUCCACUACAUACAAGUCUACAACGCCAGAAGGUAGGAUAUAUUGAUUAGUAAACAAAAAUUGCAAGUUACCUCUUCUCAAUUUUAAUUCAUGUGUAAGGAUUUAGAUC
Molecule: long non-coding RNA, 322 nt
Organism: Arachis duranensis
Lineage: Eukaryota; Viridiplantae; Streptophyta; Magnoliopsida; Fabales; Fabaceae
Exons: 2
Source: RefSeq, a predicted model, not a curated record